GAUGAACGCUGGCGGCGUGCUUAACACAUGCAAGUCGAACGAAGCAUUUAGGACAGAUUACUUCGGUUUGAAGUUCUUUAUGACUGAGUGGCGGACGGGUGGGUAACGCGUGGGUAACCUGCCUUGUACUGGGGGAUAGCAGCUGGAAACGGCUGGUAAUACCGCAUAAGCGCACAAUGUUGCAUGACAUGGUGUGAAAAACUCCGGUGGUAUAAGAUGGACCCGCGUCUGAUUAGCUAGUUGGUGAGAUAACAGCCCACCAAGGCGACGAUCAGUAGCCGACCUGAGAGGGUGACCGGACACAUUGGGACUGAGACACGGCCCAGACUCCUACGGGAGGCAGCAGUGGGGAAUAUUGCAAAAUGGAGGAAACUCUGAUGCAGCGACGCCGCGUGAGUGAAGAAGUAAUUCGUUAUGUAAAGCUCUAUCAGCAGGGAAGAUAGUGACGGUACCUGACUAAGAAGCUCCGGCUAAAUACGUG
This 481-nucleotide ribosomal RNA is filed under the name uncultured bacterium. Its description in RNAcentral is "partial 16S ribosomal RNA". It matches the Rfam family "Bacterial small subunit ribosomal RNA", at positions 28 to 507 of the family's 1533-position model. The record is from RNAcentral.